AGCUUUGCGCAGUGGCAGUAUCAUAGCCAAUGAGGUUUAUCCGAGGUGCGAUUAUUGCUAAUC
This 63-nucleotide small nuclear RNA is filed under the name Fukomys damarensis (Damara mole-rat). Its description in RNAcentral is "U4 spliceosomal RNA". It matches the Rfam family "U4 spliceosomal RNA", at positions 1 to 63 of the family's 138-position model. From Rfam's summary of the family: U4 small nuclear RNA (U4 snRNA) is a component of the major U2-dependent spliceosome. The structure of U4 snRNA from yeast and human has been reported. U4 snRNA presents a k-turn RNA motif in the 5p-SL related to recognition of Snu13 protein. Lineage: Eukaryota; Metazoa; Chordata; Mammalia; Rodentia; Bathyergidae. The record is from Rfam by way of RNAcentral.